RNAcentral lists this ribosomal RNA (260 nucleotides) under uncultured bacterium. Its description in RNAcentral is "partial 16S ribosomal RNA". It matches the Rfam family "Bacterial small subunit ribosomal RNA", at positions 96 to 353 of the family's 1533-position model. The record is from RNAcentral.
UGGCGGACGGGUGAGUAAUGUCUGGGAAACUGCCUGAUGGAGGGGGGAUAACUACUGGAAACGGUAGCUAAUACCGCAUAAUGUCGCAAGACCAAAGAGGGGGGACCUUCGGGCCUCUUGCCAUCGGAUGUGCCCAGAUGGGAUUAGCUUGUUGGUGGGGGUAACGGGCUCACCAAGGCGACGAUCCCUAGCUGGUCUGAGAGGAUGACCAGCCACACUGGAACUGAGACACGGUCCAGACUCCUACGGGAGGCAGCAUG